AUCACUCGGGUAUCUUGUUAAAAUACAGAUUCUGAUUCAUUAGGUCCUGGGUAAGACCUGAGAUUCUGCAUUUUUAGCAAGUUCUCAGGUGGUGCUGA
This 98-nucleotide microRNA precursor is filed under the name Loxodonta africana (African savanna elephant). Its description in RNAcentral is "mir-544 microRNA precursor family". It matches the Rfam family "mir-544 microRNA precursor family". Lineage: Eukaryota; Metazoa; Chordata; Mammalia; Proboscidea; Elephantidae. The record is from Rfam by way of RNAcentral.